AAAAGUUUUCAAAAAAGUUUCUAACUUUUUAAUAGUGAUUAAAUCAUUAAACUUUUA
Molecule: transfer RNA, 57 nt
Filed under: Pentapycnon charcoti
Lineage: Eukaryota; Metazoa; Arthropoda; Pycnogonida; Pantopoda; Pycnogonidae
Description: tRNA-Ser
Source: RNAcentral